Molecule: ribosomal RNA, 1428 nt
Filed under: Pediococcus pentosaceus
Lineage: Bacteria; Bacillati; Bacillota; Bacilli; Lactobacillales; Lactobacillaceae
Description: bacterial SSU rRNA
Rfam family: Bacterial small subunit ribosomal RNA
Source: RNAcentral
UGCAAGUCGAACGAACUUCCGUUAAUUGAUUAUGACGUACUUGUACUGAUUGAGAUUUUAACACGAAGUGAGUGGCGAACGGGUGAGUAACACGUGGGUAACCUGCCCAGAAGUAGGGGAUAACACCUGGAAACAGAUGCUAAUACCGUAUAACAGAGAAAACCGCAUGGUUUUCUUUUAAAAGAUGGCUCUGCUAUCACUUCUGGAUGGACCCGCGGCGUAUUAGCUAGUUGGUGAGGUAAAGGCUCACCAAGGCAGUGAUACGUAGCCGACCUGAGAGGGUAAUCGGCCACAUUGGGACUGAGACACGGCCCAGACUCCUACGGGAGGCAGCAGUAGGGAAUCUUCCACAAUGGACGCAAGUCUGAUGGAGCAACGCCGCGUGAGUGAAGAAGGGUUUCGGCUCGUAAAGCUCUGUUGUUAAAGAAGAACGUGGGUAAGAGUAACUGUUUACCCAGUGACGGUAUUUAACCAGAAAGCCACGGCUAACUACGUGCCAGCAGCCGCGGUAAUACGUAGGUGGCAAGCGUUAUCCGGAUUUAUUGGGCGUAAAGCGAGCGCAGGCGGUCUUUUAAGUCUAAUGUGAAAGCCUUCGGCUCAACCGAAGAAGUGCAUUGGAAACUGGGAGACUUGAGUGCAGAAGAGGACAGUGGAACUCCAUGUGUAGCGGUGAAAUGCGUAGAUAUAUGGAAGAACACCAGUGGCGAAGGCGGCUGUCUGGUCUGCAACUGACGCUGAGGCUCGAAAGCAUGGGUAGCGAACAGGAUUAGAUACCCUGGUAGUCCAUGCCGUAAACGAUGAUUACUAAGUGUUGGAGGGUUUCCGCCCUUCAGUGCUGCAGCUAACGCAUUAAGUAAUCCGCCUGGGGAGUACGACCGCAAGGUUGAAACUCAAAAGAAUUGACGGGGGCCCGCACAAGCGGUGGAGCAUGUGGUUUAAUUCGAAGCUACGCGAAGAACCUUACCAGGUCUUGACAUCUUCUGACAGUCUAAGAGAUUAGAGGUUCCCUUCGGGGACAGAAUGACAGGUGGUGCAUGGUUGUCGUCAGCUCGUGUCGUGAGAUGUUGGGUUAAGUCCCGCAACGAGCGCAACCCUUAUUACUAGUUGCCAGCAUUAAGUUGGGCACUCUAGUGAGACUGCCGGUGACAAACCGGAGGAAGGUGGGGACGACGUCAAAUCAUCAUGCCCCUUAUGACCUGGGCUACACACGUGCUACAAUGGAUGGUACAACGAGUCGCGAGACCGCGAGGUUAAGCUAAUCUCUUAAAACCAUUCUCAGUUCGGACUGUAGGCUGCAACUCGCCUACACGAAGUCGGAAUCGCUAGUAAUCGCGGAUCAGCAUGCCGCGGUGAAUACGUUCCCGGGCCUUGUACACACCGCCCGUCACACCAUGAGAGUUUGUAACACCCAAAGCCGGUGGGGUAACC